RNAcentral lists this ribosomal RNA (1470 nucleotides) under uncultured Bordetella sp. Its description in RNAcentral is "partial 16S-23S ribosomal RNA intergenic spacer". It matches the Rfam family "Bacterial small subunit ribosomal RNA". Lineage: Bacteria; Pseudomonadati; Pseudomonadota; Betaproteobacteria; Burkholderiales; Alcaligenaceae. The record is from RNAcentral.
GGUUCGAUUUUGGCUCAGAUUGAACGCUGGCGGAUGCUUUACACAUGCAAGUCGAACGGCAGCACGGACUUCGGUCUGGUGGCGAGUGGCGAACGGGUGAGUAAUGUAUCGGAACGUGCCUAGUAGCGGGGGAUAACUACGCGAAAGCGGUAGCUAAUACCGCAUACGCCCUUCGGGGGAAAGCGGGGACCUUCGGGCCUCGCACUAUUAGAGCGGCCGAUAUCGGAUUAGCUAGUUGGUGGGGUAAAUUCACCAAGGCGACGAUCCGUAGCUGGUUUGAGAGGACGACCAGCCACACUGGGACUGAGACACGGCCCAGACUCCUACGGGAGGCAGCAGUGGGAAUUUGGACAAUGGGGGAAACCCUGAUCCGCUCAUCCCGCGUGUGCGAUGAAGGCUCGGGUUGUAAAGCACUUUUGGCAGGAAAGAAACGGCACGGAGGAUACGGCCUCGUGCAACUGACGGUACCUGCAGAAUAAGCACCGGCUAACUACGCCAGCAGCCGCGGUAAUACGUAGGGUGCAAGCGUUAAUCGGAAUUACUGGGCGGAAGCGUGCGCAGGCGGUUCGGAAAGAAAGAUGUGAAAUCCCAGAGCUUAACUUUGAACUGCAUUUUUAACUACCGAGCUAGGAGUGUGUCAGAGGGAGGUGGAAUUCCGCGUGUAGCAGUGAAAUGCGUAGAUAUGCGGAGGAACACCGAUGGCGAAGCGCAGCCUCCUGGGAUAACACUGACGCUCAUGCACGAAAGCGUGGGGAGCAAACAGGAUUAGAUACCCUGGUAGUCCACGCCCUAAACGAUGUCAACUAGCUGUUGGGGCCUUCGGGCCUUGGUAGCGCAGCUAACGCGUGAAGUUGACUGCCUGGGGAGUACGGUCGCAAGAUUAAAACUCAAAGAAUUGACGGGACCCGCACAAGCGGUGGAUGAUGUGGAUUAAUUGAUGCAACGCGAAAACUCUCAUCACCCUUGAUGUCUGGAAUCCCGAAGAGAUUUGGGAGUGCUCGCAAGAGAACCGGAACACAGGUGCUGCAUGGUUGUCGUCAGCUCGUGUCGUGAGAUGUUGGGUUAAGUCCCGGCAACGAGCGCAACCCUUGUCAUUAGUUGCUACGAAAGGGCACUCUAAUGACUGCCGGUGACAAACCGGAGGAAGGUGGGGAUGACGUCAAGUCCUCAUGGCCCUUAUGGGUAGGGCUUCACACGUCAUACAAUGGUCGGGACAGAGGGUCGCCAACCCGCGAGGGGGAGCCAAUCCCAGAAACCCGAUCGUAGUCCGGAUCGCAGUCUGCAACUCGACUGCGAAGUCGGAAUCGCUAGUAAUCGCGGAUCAGCAUGUCGCGGUGAAUACGUUCCCUGGUCUUGUACACACCGCCCGUCACACCAUGGGAGUGGGUUUUACCAGAAGUAUAGCCUAACCGUAAGGAGGGCGAUUACCACGGUAGGAUUCAUGACUGGGGUGAAGUCGUAACAAGGUAG